UACGAAGGGGGCUAGCGUUGCUCGGAAUCACUGGGCGUAAAGCGCACGUAGGCGGCUUCUUAAGUCAGGGGUGAAAUCCUGGAGCUCAACUCCAGAACUGCCUUUGAUACUGAGAAGCUCGAGUCCGGGAGAGGUGAGUGGAACUGCGAGUGUAGAGGUGAAAUUCGUGGAUAUUCGCAAGAACACCAGUGGCGAAGGCGGCUCACUGGCCCGGUACUGACGCUGAGGCGCGAAAGCUAGGGGAGCAAACGGG
RNAcentral lists this ribosomal RNA (253 nucleotides) under uncultured bacterium. RNAcentral describes it as "partial 16S ribosomal RNA". It matches the Rfam family "Bacterial small subunit ribosomal RNA", at positions 524 to 776 of the family's 1533-position model. The record is from RNAcentral.